AUUGAACGCUGGCGGCAGGCCUAACACAUGCAAGUCGAGCGGAUUAAGGGAGCUUGCUCCUGGAUUCAGCGGCGGACGGGUGAGUAAUGCCUAGGAAUCUGCCUGGUAGUGGGGGAUAACGUCCGGAAACGGGCGCUAAUACCGCAUACGUCCUGAGGGAGAAAGUGGGGGAUCUUCGGACCUCACGCUAUCAGAUGAGCCUAGGUCGGAUUAGCUAGUUGGUGGGGUAAAGGCCUACCAAGGCGACGAUCCGUAACUGGUCUGAGAGGAUGAUCAGUCACACUGGAACUGAGACACGGUCCAGACUCCUACGGGAGGCAGCAGUGGGGAAUAUUGGACAAUGGGCGAAAGCCUGAUCCAGCCAUGCCGCGUGUGUGAAGAAGGUCUUCGGAUUGUAAAGCACUUUAAGUUGGGAGGAAGGGCAGUAAGUUAAUACCUUGCUGUUUUGACGUUACCAACAGAAUAAGCACCGGCUAACUUCGUG
This 484-nucleotide ribosomal RNA is filed under the name uncultured bacterium. RNAcentral describes it as "partial 16S ribosomal RNA". It matches the Rfam family "Bacterial small subunit ribosomal RNA", at positions 30 to 507 of the family's 1533-position model. The record is from RNAcentral.